RNAcentral lists this ribosomal RNA (245 nucleotides) under uncultured bacterium. RNAcentral describes it as "partial 16S ribosomal RNA". It matches the Rfam family "Bacterial small subunit ribosomal RNA", at positions 524 to 768 of the family's 1533-position model. The record is from RNAcentral.
GACAGAGGUGGCGAGCGUUGUUCGGAAUUACUGGGCUUAAAGGGCGAGUAGGCGGUGGAGCAAGUCUGGGGUGGAAUCUUAGGGCUCAACCCUAAAAUUGCCUUAGAAACUGUUUCACUUGAGUCAGUGAGGGGAGGGCGGAAUUCCUGGUGUAGCGGUGAAAUGCGUAGAUAUCAGGAGGAAGGCCUGUGGCGAAGGCGGCCCUCUGGCACUGUACUGACGCUGAGGCGCGAAAGCGUGGGGAG